This 332-nucleotide ribosomal RNA is filed under the name uncultured archaeon. RNAcentral's name for it is "bacterial SSU rRNA". It matches the Rfam family "Archaeal small subunit ribosomal RNA", at positions 437 to 769 of the family's 1478-position model. The record is from RNAcentral.
AAGGGGUGGGCAAGUUCUGGUGUCAGCCGCCGCGGUAAAACCAGCACCUCGAGUGGUCAGGAGGUUUAUGGGCCUAAAGCAUCCGUAGCCGGUUGCAUAAGUUUUCGGUUAAAUCUAUGCGCUUAACGUAUANNCNGCCGAAAAUACUGUGCAGCUAGGGAGUGGGAGAGGUACACGGUACUCGAUAGGAAGGGGUAAAAUCCUUUGAUCUAUUGAUGAUCACCUGUGGCGAAGGCGGUGUACCAGAACACGUUCGACGGUGAGGGAUGAAAGCUGGGGGAGCAAACCGGAUUAGAUACCCGGGUAGUCCCAGCUGUAAACGAUGCAGACUC